Molecule: long non-coding RNA, 3894 nt
Filed under: Lynx pardinus (Iberian lynx)
Lineage: Eukaryota; Metazoa; Chordata; Mammalia; Carnivora; Felidae
Source: RNAcentral
ACACACACACUCUCGCUCUCUCAUUCUCCUUUCCCUCCUCUCCAUCUCCCUAUUGCAUUGUGUCUGACUGAUUUUCAGAGCACCUUCGCUGUUUCCCCCUUCUCAUUCCCUUUCUGUAAAAUAUCUAGACAGGAAGGAGGUGGCUGCAGAGGCUGAACAAACAAUCUCAUAUUCUGCCUGCAAUGUCAUCGUUUCUUUCCCCCAUUUUAGGGGGCUGAAGUUGCCCAGGAAGGGGAUGCAGAGGAGCUGGAAAGGAAGGGGGGAGCUCUCCAGAGGCAGCUGCGGUCAGGGGCAGGGACUGCCGCCAGAUGUGCCUGCCUCUCUGGGCUUUGAUUCGAAAGGGGCAGCAGGAGGAAGUAUUGGGAGACAAAAGCCCCGGUUUAAAUGAUCAUUUUCUUUAUUUAACAUGGCAGCAGACACUCUCUGCGUAGGAUCAUCAUGCCGAGCAUAAACUGGACUUUCCCACUUGCCUGGCAGGAGUGAGACAGAUCACUGUCUGCUAAAUGAGCAUCUGAGGUAAGACCCACUGUUACAGAUACUUGCUUUUUUUCCUAAACAAUUAAUUUUCUUAAAUAUGUUUCAGCCUCAAUCACAAACAGUAUAGUGGGGGCAAAUCUGUGUUAAUCUGCAUCUAAAGAGCCAAGAAAAAGCAGAGGUAUAAUAUAUUCAACUCAAUUUGGGGAGAUAGUUACUUUGUCAAUUCUGUGUAUGCUGUUUGUUUUUCAGGUAAAAUAUCUGGUUUAAGAAUAGACUAGUGUCAUCAUAAUCCACCACUAGUGAUAAUACUGGUGUUGAGACUCUUAAAAAAAACUUUGUAAAAAGACAGUGAGCUACAGAUGCAUGUGCUGUAUUUUUAGCUCACAUACAAAUAUUAGAAGUCUUAUUAAAAUGAUAGGGGUUUUUUUUUUUUUAGCAGAGGAGGAAUGAAUGCUGCAUAAUUAAGUACAGUAUUUAAUUUGGCUGUUGUGAAGCAAAAGAAUAAGGUAAUAAUUUUUAUUGUACUAAUCAGUCUCAAGAUGUUCUCUGUGUUAAUUGGGUUAAAAAAAUUGCAGUACUUAUUAGAAAUUCUAAUUUCACAAUGCAGCACUGACAAUAAGCUCAGCCAGUGAAUUAUUCACAUCUUUAAUUUGCUCACUUAAUGACAGUGUUCUGUAAUCAGAGUGCAGAGACUGCUGCCUAUGCAUUAUGUAUGAUGCUCAGGACUUAAAUGCAGGACAUUAUGAAGCUCUCAGUGGUUCAGUAAUUAGUUUUCCACAAGACAGGAUUUAGAUAUUCACAGAUAAAAGUCCACAGUUGGAUAAUGCUAAGGUUGCAACACAAAAUAACAAAGGAAAGGAAGCUCAAAGUUUAGACUGAAACUUUGUCUCUCCGGCCUUGUCCACUGUGGAAACAGAAUCAUGCCACCUGAAAUAGUUGCCUAGCUCUGAUCACAUGUUUGAAAACUGUUUUUGAACAAAGUUGUAGCAGGCGAGGCAUUUGAACAAUUUCAGUGGACCAGAGGGGAAAGAUAAAACCUUUUUAAUUAGUGUUCACAGAAGCCCUGCAAUAUAUCCUCCUAAUAAGUCUGUAGUAUGCAUAGCAGGCAUUCUCAGUGUGCUUUGUAACUUAGUUAGUGCAAAUGCAAAUCAGGUUACAGUGGUGUUUGGCUGUAAUUGUGUUUGUAAAAGGGUUACAUGCCCAAAUGGAGAUUGAGCUUGCUCAUGGUUUUGUUCCAGUUGCUUCUGAGGGAAGGUUUGAAAAUCAAAUGAGAUAUUAAGUGAAUCUGGACAUGAAAGGAAGUAGAUCUGAAUUGUCAGUGCAACUUUGGGAUUUCUUCCACUUGUCGGUUUAGAGUUGUCAGUUUUUCUUUAAUGAUUCUAGGUUGUUCUGUCAUGAGUGAUAUAACCUUUGAGACUAACCAGAACUGCUAGCAAUACUUUAAAAAUGUAUACUAACUUUGGGAAAACAUUUCACAGUAUUAAUUCUAAAGUUUAAUAGCCAGAUUGGAAACUUUACAGUGAUUUAAACAACAACAACAAAACAAACAAACAAACAAGCAAACAAAAAACAUGUUGCCUGGUAGACUUUAUGGGGAUUUUUGAGGAUUUAAACAUUAAUAUUUAUUAAUAAGAUCUCACUGCUUUACCAUUUGUUUGUCUAAGAUUUGUGCUCAUUUCCAAAACCCAAGUGUCAAGAUCCUUAAUCAAAUUUGGCAUUUUAAAUAAAAAUGCAGAGUAAUACUUUAAAACUGCCUUUUAUAGCUUAGAACAUUUUUUUAAGGAAACUUGAGUUAAGAUAUCUAUAGGCAAAUGUAAUGUUUAGGGAAGGAAUGAACUAGCGAAAUAAAAAGAAAGUACAUUCCACCUUAAUUUGAAAAAUUCCAAAUUAAAAAAAAAAUUAAGUCACACCUCCAAAUUUGACUUCUACUUUCUAGAACUGAAAAGCUACUUUAACAAAAUAAAGAUGUUUUUCACAUAUGUUUAGGAAGCUGUUGCCUUUGUGACACUUCAAACAUGGUUUUUGGGAAAGGGCACUUGGUUAGGGGAUGAAUUAGGAUAUUGUAUAGUUGAGGAAGUGACCUGACUUGACUUGGAUCCAGUAUAAUAUGUGGCAAUCAGUUGGUAGCAGUGGUGCUUUUAGUAGCUUAAAGAAAUACUGGGAAUUAGGAAACUUGAGUUCUGGUUCCAUUUUGGCCACAAACCAGCUAUGUCACAUUGAGCACCUAAAUUGAUUUUCCAUUUCCUUAUCUGUCAGACCGGAAUAACAAACUUUUCUAAGAUUUAGAAAAAAAACAAAAAAACAAAACAAAACAAAACAAAAAAAAACAACUGCCACGUUAUUAUGGGGAGAAAUGAGGUAGAGGAGUGAAAGUUUUUUGAAAACUUAAAAGCACUAGAUAAAAAUAUGAAAGCUAUUUUAAGGAUUAACAAAAACCAAAAUGUGUGUCUUUGAAUCUGUAUUGUUUAUUAUGGAAGAGAUUCUUAUCCAGAUUUGCAACACUCUGUAAUGUAAAAAUGUCAAAAUAUUGUCAAGUAAAUAAAUUUAAAUUCAAUUUAAUGAAAAUAAGCCAUGAAAAAAAUGCCCUUCUUAGGUGUUUGGGGGAGAACAAGAAAGCCUUGAGAUUCCAUGAACAUCAGUUUGGUGUCAUCACUCCAAAAAGGUUGGCAAUCAUCUUGCCUUGGACAUUUCUUUCACUUAUCACUGAAGAGACACAUAUUAAUACUGUAACAAGUCUUAUGCUUGGAAUAUCUGCCAGUUAUCAAGAUUUUGGCCAUUCUUCUCAUUAGAUUAUGAGUCAGAAUGAGAUAAUUUACACCACUGGAAUUUUGGAGCUCUUUUUCUCACCAAAAAUGGUCAAUAUAUCAACCAAUCAAUAAUUGAUUAUCUGUUAAUUUUUCUUUGGCUGUCUAUUGAGCACUUACAAUGCUAUCAAAACUAACAUGCUAUCUUGCCCUCAUUUUUAUGAGGUGGUUGUCUCCUUAUUCUAGAUGAGAGACUGAAGCACAAAGAAAUUAAGUAUUUUGACAAUACCACAUAGCUGCUGAGUAGUAGCAUUAGAAUUGAACCAGAUCCAAGUCCUGAUGUUGCAACCAAUAGACUACAUUGUUAGUUGCCAAGGUCCUGAGCUCUGUGCUGAGAUAAAGGAAUUGAUUGAGAUUCCUGCCCUCACAUUGCUCACAGUGGUAAUAUUUGAGUUUCUUCCACCUGCUCCUUGUGGGUCAAGACUUGCUACUCACAGUGUGGGCUACGACAGCAUUGGCAUUGUUUGCAACCAGGGUUGGGUGCUUUACUAACUUUGAUGUGACUUUUAAAUCAACUGGGGAUCUGGUUAAAAUCCGAUUCUGAUUCAGUAGGUCAGGGAUGGGGCCCAAGAUGCUUUUCUAACAGGUUUCCAGGUGAUGCAAUGUUGCUGUU